GUAAAUUAGCCUUGCAUUAAAUGAAUACCAAUGCUUCAGAAUAAGCGAUUUCGGAUAACACGAACAUUUUUUGGACUGCAUUAGUCGUGAUAAAGGCUCCAGUACUGACAAAUGACUUCCCUACCGUUCUCAACCAGCGGGCGACUGUUUGCAUUUAUCCCCCAUGCGGCACUAGCAGUGUUUAGGCUAUUCUCACGCCUCUGGUCAUGUACAUGCAGGCAAGCUUCCGCGCGACCAGCACCUUCGACCACUUCUUGGCUGAGAUCCCCAGGCUAUCAUAGCACAGCCCUGAUUACGUAUCACCACUGUGCUGUGUAUCUUUACUCAAAUUAAUGAGCUUCCGUGCACGCACCGGUGAUAUGGGGCUCGUUGAGUACGGCCCACAUCACACGGUGCCUGCAGUUUCUGAAAGCCCCUCCCCCACUUCAUCCUGUUAUUCUAUGAAACCAGUGCUGCAAUAAGACUGAAUGCCUCCCUCUUCUCCUCGUAUCCAGCAUAAUCCCCUCACCUUUGGAGAAGACCAACACCUAUGCCAGUGCCCGUCACGCUACAUUCGAGAGCGAUCUGUCGACCACAUUAUGAAUUAAAUUUAGGCACCUUGUAACUCUGGUUUUAUCCACUAGGAAGUGCCACAUCAUGCUUGUUUCCAAGCACUGGGAACCAUAUGUCGGCUCUUUUGAAGACUAUGAAGUGAAAAAAGGAAUGUAGACUUUUUUUGUGUAAGGUAACUUGCACUAUAUUACAAUCUCUCAUUUGGACUUGGAACACCGAAAAAUCUUCAGGAAGACACUUAUGUUAAAGCAAACAAUAAAAAAUAAAUAUUCACAUACU
Bacillus rossius redtenbacheri is the source of this 831-nucleotide long non-coding RNA. RefSeq lists it as uncharacterized. Lineage: Eukaryota; Metazoa; Arthropoda; Insecta; Phasmatodea; Bacillidae. The transcript is spliced from 2 exons. The record is from RefSeq and is a predicted model, not a curated record.